GUGACACGAAAAGCCUAGGCGUGUAGAUCUUUAUUUUUCAAGCUGGGUUAUCAAGCCUGGUGGCGAUGAAGUGUAGAGAUCGGUUACAUGAACUUGUAAAGGUAGAGAUAGAGAAGAAGGAUUUGAGUACGGAGGAGUGGAAGAUCGUGAUGGAGAGAAGCUUCGAACGCAUGGACAAUGAGGGACUUUAAACAUUAAUCAUGUCGAGGGGGCUAUAAUGGUUGUUAGAGCAUCAAAGCCUACUAUUGUUGCUGAUGCAGAUGGAUUCUUCAGCAUAAAAAAUUGACUUGUCUUCCCACAUUGUUAGGGUUUACUUGACUUUGAAGGAUUUGAUAGAAGGUUGAUACUGGAGGACUACCUUAGCUUUGUCUCAGGAUCUGUUGGUAAGUAAUCCAAAAUUACAAAUUUUAGUUGCUUUAUUCAAAAUAUUUUUCCUAAUGGUUUGAACGGUGAUGGCUAAAUUGGGAAGGCUUAUUUUUUGUUUAAAAGUAAACUGGUAGCUGUUGUAAUGUACCAGUAUUGUUCUGGUUGGAAGAUGGAUUCUUUAACGAAAGAACUUUUGUUUCUUUUUCCCAUUUUGUUCUUGAAAAAGAUUAUUUAUGCAUUCUAUUUUUUAAACAUUUCAGAAAUUUUAGUGAAUUGGGUUUCAGAAAUUUUAUGCAAAUUUUUAGUACAUAUUUCAAAAUUUUAGAUGUGGGUUUGUUUUUCCCAUGCUUGCAAAUUAGAUUUUCAAUCAUUUGCUUGGAUUUUAGGUGGGAAAUGUUGCAUCGUGCGUAGUAUCUGAUCUUUUUUGCUUUAGGCGAGCCACCAGUAUAAAGUCAAAAAAAAGUUUAUGAAGUAUUCAUAAAGAUACCACAACACUUGGUUUUGCAACUAACUGUUCCAAAAAUAGGAUUCACUGUAGCUAAGUGAAUAGUAUAUAUAUAUAUAUAUAUGUGCAUGU
This is a non-coding RNA of Camellia sinensis, 943 nucleotides long. The record is from RefSeq and is a predicted model, not a curated record. Lineage: Eukaryota; Viridiplantae; Streptophyta; Magnoliopsida; Ericales; Theaceae.